AUCUUUUAAUAUCUUAAAAAAUAAAAUAAAAUUUAUAGAUUGAAAAUUUUUGAAUAAAGUAAUAUUAGGAAAAUAAAUUCCUGAAUAUUCUAAUGAUCCUUCCGCAGGUUCACCUACGGAAA
RNAcentral lists this unclassified non-coding RNA (122 nucleotides) under uncultured fungus. Its description in RNAcentral is "sequence contains ITS1". Lineage: Eukaryota; Fungi. The record is from RNAcentral.